GGUUAACGAGGCAGCCCGGGAAGAGCUCCGGUUAACGGGGCUUUCAUCGAACCAGAACCGCCCCAGCCGCCAGCACGGCACGCGGGAGGCACCGCAGAUGGACCGGGCAAGGCCGGAGUAACCACGGGGGUUACUCUGUAAAAUAAUAAUGCCUAGAGACAAAGUAGCCAGAAAAGGCAGGAAGAAAACAAAAAAAAGCCAGUACAAACACUGUAUUUGAAACUAAAUUAAACAAAAAAAUCUUGAUAGCGAAGGGCUUCUGGCUGGAGAACUUCCUGGGGAGCAAUCCUGCCCCUCUGUGAGGGAAUGCCAGGGCAGCUCCAGCUGAAACCUGCACCAAACACCACAAAUAUUUCAGAUAUUUGCAGUAAGCCUCUGGUGUUUAAUAAUUGAUUCACUUUCCCAUCGAAUGGCACAUUCACUCCACAAGACUUGAACACCUUUCUGGUAGUUUUAUUUACAGCCUGCAGCGUGUUCUGUAAAACACAGGAGUGGUCACAGACAGACACACAACAUGGGGAUUUUCAAACAUUUAAAUAAGUACAGUUUAUUCCAAAGUAAGUCUACACGCUAGUCUUUCCAUAAAAAUAUAAAAAAUUGUUUAGUAACUGUAUUUAACCUAAAUCAGGAUGCUUGAGAAUUCUUCAAGUGAUGCCCCCUCCCCAAAAGGGCACUCCAAGGAUAAGAAAUUCAGGAGACUGAAUCACCAAACAAAACACUAACUGCAACUGUUUCAAUCCACCAGAAAAAAAAACAACUCCCACUCUGCAUCCAGCAAUCCCUGCUCUGCAGCAUGUUUGGAUCUGCUUUUGUUGGGUUUGUGGGGUUUGCACUCACUGCUCCAGGGCCACUCCCACAAGCAAAGAUCGAGGGGAUUCCUGCAGACUGGCACCCAGCACAGCUGGCAAUCCUGCAUUCACACAUUCCUCGGGAAGCACAUCCAGAGGGGAGCACUUUCCCUUGAGACCUUCCCUUCAGGGAGUCUCUUUUUACUGA
Long non-coding RNA from Passer domesticus (house sparrow), 996 nucleotides. RefSeq lists it as uncharacterized. The record is from RefSeq and is a predicted model, not a curated record. NCBI's taxonomy places the organism in Eukaryota, Metazoa, Chordata, Aves, Passeriformes, Passeridae. The transcript is spliced from 2 exons.